CACCUGUAUUGGCAAACUAAUCGAAAGGUUAGGACGCAAAGUUUCCGGUCUAAGGUUUUAGCGUGCUAAAACUAAGAUAGCGGAGCCGUCGCA
RNAcentral lists this non-coding RNA (93 nucleotides) under Pseudoalteromonas porphyrae. RNAcentral describes it as "c-di-GMP sequence". It matches the Rfam family "c-di-GMP-I riboswitch aptamer". Rfam says of the family: GEMM was predicted in a large-scale screen for bacterial structured RNA regulatory elements. Lineage: Bacteria; Pseudomonadati; Pseudomonadota; Gammaproteobacteria; Alteromonadales; Pseudoalteromonadaceae. The record is from RNAcentral.